Molecule: transfer RNA, 76 nt
Filed under: Patescibacteria group bacterium
Lineage: Bacteria
Description: tRNA-Ala
Rfam family: tRNA
About the family: Transfer RNA (tRNA) molecules are approximately 80 nucleotides in length. Their secondary structure includes four short double-helical elements and three loops (D, anti-codon, and T loops).
Source: RNAcentral
GGGCCCUUAGCUCAUCUGGUAGAGCACCUCGUUUGCACCGAGGAGGUGACCGGUCCGAUCCCGGUAGGGUCCACCA